UAGGGAAUCUUCCACAAUGGACGCAAGUCUGAUGGAGCAACGCCGCGUGAGUGAAGAAGGCUUUCGGGUCGUAAAACUCUGUUAUUGAAGAAGAACGUGUGUGACAGUAACUGGUCAUGCAGUGACGGUAUUCAAUCAGAAAAGUCACGGCUAACUACGUGCCAGCAGCCGCGGUAAUACGUAGGUGGCAAGCGUUGUCCGGAUUUAUUGGGCGUAAAGCGAGUGCAGGCGGUCUUUUAAGUCUGAUGUGAAAGCCUUCGGCUUAACCGAAGAAGGGCAUCGGAAACUGGGAGACUUGAGUGCAGAAGAGGAGAGUGGAACUCCAUGUGUAGCGGUGAAAUGCGUAGAUAUAUGGAAGAACACCAGUGGCGAAGGCGGCUCUCUGGUCUGUAACUGACGCUGAGGCUCGAAAGCGUGGGUAGCAAACAGGAUU
RNAcentral lists this ribosomal RNA (433 nucleotides) under uncultured bacterium. RNAcentral describes it as "partial 16S ribosomal RNA". It matches the Rfam family "Bacterial small subunit ribosomal RNA", at positions 355 to 779 of the family's 1533-position model. The record is from RNAcentral.